Molecule: ribosomal RNA, 365 nt
Filed under: uncultured bacterium
Lineage: Bacteria
Description: bacterial SSU rRNA
Rfam family: Bacterial small subunit ribosomal RNA
Source: RNAcentral
AUUGAACGCUGGCGGCAUGCCUUACACAUGCAAGUCGAACGGCAGCACGGGGGCAACCCUGGUGGCGAGUGGCGAACGGGUGAGUAACAUAUCGGAACGUGCCCUGGAGUGGGGGAUAACUAGUCGAAAGACUAGCUAAUACCGCAUACGAUCUACGGAUGAAAGUGGGGGAUCGCAAGACCUCAUGCUCGUGGAGCGGCCGAUAUCUGAUUAGCAGUUGGUGGGUAAGGCCUACCAAGGCAUCGAUCAGUAGCUGGUCUGAGAGGACGACCAGCCACACUGGGACUGAGACACGGCCCAGACUCCUACGGGAGGCAGCAGUGGGGAAUUUUGGACAAUGGGCGCAAGCCUGAUCCAGCAAUGCC